RNAcentral lists this ribosomal RNA (470 nucleotides) under uncultured organism. RNAcentral's name for it is "partial 16S ribosomal RNA". It matches the Rfam family "Bacterial small subunit ribosomal RNA", at positions 335 to 797 of the family's 1533-position model. The record is from RNAcentral.
ACUCCUACGGGAGGCAGCAGUGGGGAAUUUUGGACAAUGGGCGAAAGCCUGAUCCAGCAAUGCCGCGUGAGUGAAGAAGGCCUUCGGGUUGUAAAGCUCUUUUGUCAGGGAAGAAACGGUGAAAGCUAAUAUCUUUUGCUAAUGACGGUACCUGAAGAAUAAGCACCGGCUAACUACGUGCCAGCAGCCGCGGUAAUACGUAGGGUGCAAGCGUUAAUCGGAAUUACUGGGCGUAAAGCGUGCGCAGGCGGUUUUGUAAGUCUGAUGUGAAAUCCCCGGGCUCAACCUGGGAAUUGCAUUGGAGACUGCAAGGCUAGAAUCUGGCAGAGGGGGGUAGAAUUCCACGUGUAGCAGUGAAAUGCGUAGAUAUGUGGAGGAACACCGAUGGCGAAGGCAGCCCCCUGGGUCAAGAUUGACGCUCAUGCACGAAAGCGUGGGGAGCAAACAGGAUUAGAUACCCGUGUAGUCCC